UACGGAGGGAGCUAGCGUUGUUCGGAAUUACUGGGCGUAAAGCGUGCGUAGGCGGUUAUUCAAGUCAGAGGUGAAAGCCCGGGGCUCAACCCCGGAACUGCCUUUGAAACUAGAUAGCUAGAAUCUUGGAGAGGUCAGUGGAAUUCCGAGUGUAGAGGUGAAAUUCGUAGAUAUUCGGAAGAACACCAGUGGCGAAGGCGACUGACUGGACAAGUAUUGACGCUGAGGCACGAAAGCGUGGGGAGCAAACAGG
RNAcentral lists this ribosomal RNA (253 nucleotides) under uncultured bacterium. Its description in RNAcentral is "partial 16S ribosomal RNA". It matches the Rfam family "Bacterial small subunit ribosomal RNA", at positions 524 to 776 of the family's 1533-position model. The record is from RNAcentral.